GACAGCUCAGUUGGUAUAUCAUGAGAUUCUUAAUCUCAGGGUUGUGGGUUCAAAAGUCUCACGUUGGGCA
This is a non-coding RNA of Podarcis lilfordi (Lilford's wall lizard), 70 nucleotides long. The record is from the annotation of a GenBank genome assembly. Lineage: Eukaryota; Metazoa; Chordata; Lepidosauria; Squamata; Lacertidae.